Long non-coding RNA from Oncorhynchus kisutch (coho salmon), 2563 nucleotides. RefSeq lists it as uncharacterized. The record is from RefSeq and is a predicted model, not a curated record. NCBI's taxonomy places the organism in Eukaryota, Metazoa, Chordata, Actinopteri, Salmoniformes, Salmonidae. The transcript is spliced from 4 exons.
UUGUGACGGUGCGUCAGAAUAAAAUUCCCGAAUGGAAACUGGAGCUAGAGUUUAGAGUUCUGGUUGUGAAACACGGAACAAAGAAAUCUGAGACUGAAAAUCCAGAGUGGUGAGGAAUCAAGUGGUAGAAGACUUCACUGACCUCUUAAUAUAACCUCUAUGACUACAACAGGGUUCCGUGGUAAUGGCCUGGUCACGGCACCUUGACAUGUGGCAGAAACUGAAGGAUCAGGGGUCACAAAUGCAGUCCUACUGGCGAGGAAGGGUUCCAGCAGUGACUGACAGGAGAGGAGGGCUCAUAGGUUCCCAUAUAGAGGAAGGGACUACCACAUGGUUCCUCUUUAAGAAGAUUGGAUCAUGCCCACUGCCUGGCUUUCAUUAUGCAAUCACCGCUCUGUACUUCCUGCAUCCAACCCACAGACUGACUAACUAGCCGUUGGGGACUUCCACUUCCAGCCACAGGACACCCGUUGGACCCAGAGAUGGACCGGCCACAGCCUGAACAACAAUGCUCUUUUCUGGGAUACAAACCUGGGGUGUAAGGCAUGAUGCUCCAGUCGUGCCCUCUCUCAUUAAAGAUCCUCAUUGAGGAUAUAGAAUGUCAAACGCAACAGAAGAGAGGGUGUCAUUUCCAUCUUUCUAUCUAACUGUUCGUUUUAAGUAUUCAUGAGAUGAGCCCUUUUUUUCCCUAGGAACUAGGCAUGUGCGACGUGUGCUAUUUAUAUGGUAAUCAUUUGAGAGGGGUGAAGUUACGGGUCCAUCAAUGGGUUGAACAUGUGUGAGACAGGUGCUGCGAUGGAGAUCUGGCCAAAACAAUCACGUUGCUACAGAAAGGACUGCCUAAUUGAGCUCUGUUUGUGUGGCAUGGCGCUGAACAAUGGCUCAUGGCUGGCAGAUGCAACAGGGGGCCAGUAAUAUCGACAAAGCCCACAGAACAAUACCAGCAGGAGGACAAUGGAGGGUUACUGCAGAGAGCAGAGAUGACAGGAGGAGAGGAGACGAUACAGGAAUUAAAUGGGAAAUGGCAUUUCUAGUUUUUCACGACUGCCUUAUCGCCAGUGAUGGCCUGAAAACGGAAAUCGACUUAACAAAAUUAAAAGUGAGACUUUUGUCUGGACACCUCCCUGCAGCAAUUUCUGAGAUACUGGUAUUCUGAGUUAAUGUACCUGUCUGGCUCAAGGGGGAAAAGUCAUUCCCUAGUUCUAUACUGUAUUCACAGACUAUGGGGGAAACAUGUUCUGUUUCAUUUGACGAGAAAAGAAUGUCCGCAACUCUGGUAUGCUCCCAUGGUGAUUGUAACAGAUGCCCAAAAAAGACAACGUAUUGAUCCGAGUUGGAUCUUCGUCACAUCAUACGCCACUGUGAAACACGGCGACUUAAAUAACCUCGAGAGGCAUGUUCAUCCGGUCAAUUGAAUACAUAUAGUACAUGAACGUACCAAUACAUAUUACACAGUAGACAUAUGGAAAAACGUGAAUACAUGUUGGUUUGUUUAUCCAUGUCAAGUAAUAUAGAUUACUUUGCAAUAGAUUAAAAACAGAUGAGACCAAUGUGUUCAAUCAUUUUGUAUACAAUACUGUAUUAUAUAGGGAAAAUGGGAAACCCUGUGAGCGGUUUUGACUAGAAUGGAUACAGCUUAUGUCAGAAUUGACUUUUCAUAGCAGGUUAGGAUAAUUUACGAAGCAGGUUAGGAGAAUAAACAUAGCAGGUUAGGACAAUUGGGUUAAGUGUAGGGUUAGCUAAAACGCCCCAAAAAAUCGCCUUUAGACGUCAAAUUGACGUAUCUUGACAAAUCUUGUAUAGCCAUAAACUCUGUGAGCAGAACACAUUUUUAUAGAAAAGGUUCUAUAUUUAGUUCCUCGUUUAUACCUCUUGGAAACAGUGUUGAGGGAAUGCAUCCUAAAGGACUCUUGUCUCAGGAGGAAAUUGUCAUCUCGCUAGAAGUUAUUGAAGUAGGCGUGUUUCACAAUAGUGUAUGACGUGACGAAGAUCCAACUCGGAUCGAAACGUGGUCUUUUUUGUGCGUCUGAUUAAAUCACCAUGCCAGAGUUGCGACCAUUUAUUUUCUCUUUUGAUACGUUUCCUCUGUCCUGCACCUGUUAAGUGCAUAUUUUUUCCAUUUUCAUUUGACCCCAUCUACAGUAUAGGACAAUGUGACCCUAGCUGUCUGAAGUGUUAUCCCCAUGGUGGAGUGGUGAACAUGAGCACUUUGUUAGAACUCUUCUCCCUGAGGCCAGCACUUACAUCCCCCUCAAAUUGUUUUAUCUCGCUAUGUAUUGAUCUCAGUGUAUUUUUUUAUGUUAGUCGUUAUGGCGAGUUGCGGUCAGGCAGGCUUGUGAAGGACUACUUACUUACUCCAGGGCACUGCCUUAACAACUUUAUCAAUCCAUUACUUUAGAUGUGUACUGAAACUGUGGUCACUUGCCCCCUAAUGAUUAUAUAUGGCUGUAGAUUGAACAAUUUAAUUUGCAAGGCAGUUAUGGGAUCAUGUAAACCCCAGAUAGAGAUGAAUGUCUCUUCUAGUCAUUAUGUGUUACUUCCAUACAUUAACAUGAAAAUGGGA